Molecule: transfer RNA, 73 nt
Filed under: Candidatus Woesearchaeota archaeon
Lineage: Archaea; Nanobdellati; Candidatus Woesearchaeota
Description: tRNA-Ala
Rfam family: tRNA
About the family: Transfer RNA (tRNA) molecules are approximately 80 nucleotides in length.
Source: RNAcentral
GGGGCAGUAGCUCAGCUGGGAGAGCACCUGCUUUGCAAGCAGGGGGUCGGGAGUUCGAUCCUCCUCUGCUCCA